GGCAGGGCGAAGCUGAUCAGCCUGCCGCGUGUGUGAAGAAGGUCUUCGGAUUGUAAAGCACUUUAAGUUGGGAGGAAGGGCAUUUACCUAAUACGUUAUUGUUUUGACGUUACCGACAGAAUAAGCACCGGCUAACUCUGUGCCAGCAGCCGCGGUAAUAC
This 161-nucleotide ribosomal RNA is filed under the name uncultured Pseudomonas sp. RNAcentral describes it as "partial 16S ribosomal RNA". It matches the Rfam family "Bacterial small subunit ribosomal RNA", at positions 373 to 526 of the family's 1533-position model. The record is from RNAcentral. Lineage: Bacteria; Pseudomonadati; Pseudomonadota; Gammaproteobacteria; Pseudomonadales; Pseudomonadaceae.